This 253-nucleotide ribosomal RNA is filed under the name uncultured bacterium. RNAcentral's name for it is "partial 16S ribosomal RNA". It matches the Rfam family "Bacterial small subunit ribosomal RNA", at positions 524 to 776 of the family's 1533-position model. The record is from RNAcentral.
UACGUAGGGUGCUAGCGUUGUCCGGAUUUAUUGGGCGUAAAGGGCUCGUAGGCGGCGUGUCGCGUCGGGAGUGAAAGUCCGGGGCUCAACUCCGGAUCUGCGGUGGGUACGGGCAGACUAGAGUGCAGUAGGGGAGACUGGAAUUCCUGGUGUAGCGGUGAAAUGCGCAGAUAUCAGGAGGAACACCGAUGGCGAAGGCAGGUCUCUGGGCUGUAACUGACGCUGAGGAGCGAAAGCGUGGGGAGCGAACAGG